AGAAAUCAGGUGGUAGGAUAGAA
RNAcentral lists this small nuclear RNA (23 nucleotides) under Arabidopsis thaliana (thale cress). Its description in RNAcentral is "snRNA_05905". Lineage: Eukaryota; Viridiplantae; Streptophyta; Magnoliopsida; Brassicales; Brassicaceae. The record is from RNAcentral.